CCUACGGGGGGCUGCAGUGGGGAAUAUUGGACAAUGGGGGCAACCCUGAUCCAGCCAUGCCGCGUGUGUGAAGAAGGCCCUCGGGUUGUAAAGCACUUUCAGUGAGGAAGAACGCCUGGUGGUUAAUACCCAUCAGGAAAGACAUCACUCACAGAAGAAGUACCGGCUAACUCCGUGCCAGCAGCCGCGGUAAUACGGAGGGUGCGAGCGUUAAUCGGAAUUACUGGGCGUAAAGCGCGCGUAGGUGGCUUGAUAAGCCGGUUGUGAAAGCCCCGGGCUCAACCUGGGAACGGCAUCCGGAACUGUCAAGCUAGAGUGCAGGAGAGGAAGGUAGAAUUCCCGGUGUAGCGGUGAAAUGCGUAGAGAUCGGGAGGAAUACCAGUGGCGAAGGCGGCCUUCUGGACUGACACUGACACUGAGGUGCGAAAGCGUGGGUAGCAAACAGGAUUAGAUACCCUUGUAGUC
Molecule: ribosomal RNA, 465 nt
Filed under: Vreelandella stevensii
Lineage: Bacteria; Pseudomonadati; Pseudomonadota; Gammaproteobacteria; Oceanospirillales; Halomonadaceae
Description: partial 16S ribosomal RNA
Rfam family: Bacterial small subunit ribosomal RNA
Source: RNAcentral